GACCCGUUAGUUCAGGGGUAGAAUGUGUGAUUCCAGUGCCUGGAACAUCCACAAGGUCAACGGUUCAAUUCCGUUACGGGUCA
Molecule: transfer RNA, 83 nt
Organism: Exidia glandulosa HHB12029
Lineage: Eukaryota; Fungi; Basidiomycota; Agaricomycetes; Auriculariales; Exidiaceae
Rfam family: tRNA
About the family: Transfer RNA (tRNA) molecules are approximately 80 nucleotides in length.
Source: Rfam